GACGAACGCUGGCGGCGUGCCUAAUACAUGCAAGUAGAAUGCUGAAGAGAGGAGCUUGCUCUUCUUGGAUGAGUUGCGAACGGGUGAGUAACGCGUAGGUAACCUGCCUUGUAGCGGGGGAUAACUAUUGGAAACGAUAGCUAAUACCGCAUAACAAUAGGUGACACAUGUCAUUUAUUUGAAAGGGGCAAUUGCUCCACUACAAGAUGGACCUGCGUUGUAUUAGCUAGUAGGUGAGGUAACGGCUCACCUAGGCGACGAUACAUAGCCGACCUGAGAGGGUGAUCGGCCACACUGGGACUGAGACACGGCCCAGACUCCUACGGGAGGCAGCAGUAGGGAAUCUUCGGCAAGGGGGGCAACCCUGACCGAGCAACGCCGCGUGAGUGAAGAAGGUUUUCGGAUCGUAAAGCUCUGUUGUAAGUCAAGAACGAGUGUGAGAGUGGAAAGUUCACACUGUGACGGUAGCUUACCAGAAAGGGACGGCUAACUACGUG
RNAcentral lists this ribosomal RNA (497 nucleotides) under uncultured bacterium. RNAcentral describes it as "partial 16S ribosomal RNA". It matches the Rfam family "Bacterial small subunit ribosomal RNA", at positions 28 to 507 of the family's 1533-position model. The record is from RNAcentral.